This 388-nucleotide ribosomal RNA is filed under the name uncultured bacterium. RNAcentral describes it as "bacterial SSU rRNA". It matches the Rfam family "Bacterial small subunit ribosomal RNA", at positions 28 to 417 of the family's 1533-position model. The record is from RNAcentral.
GACGAACGCUGGCGGCGUGCUUAACACAUGCAAGUCGAGCGGUAAGGCCCUUUCGGGGGUACACGAGCGGCGAACGGGUGAGUAACACGUGGGUGACCUGCCCUCAGCUCUGGGAUAAGCCUGGGAAACUGGGUCUAAUACCGGAUAUGACUCCAUGACGCAUGUUGUGGGGUGGAAAGCCUUGUGCGGCUGGGGAUGGGCCCGCGGCCUAUCAGCUUGUUGGUGGGGUGAUGGCCUACCAAGGCGACGACGGGUAGCCGGCCUGAGAGGGCGACCGGCCACACUGGGACUGAGGCACGGCCCAGACUCCUACGGGAGGCAGCAGUGGGGAAUCUUGCGCAAUGGGCGAAAGCCUGACGCAGCGACGCCGCGUGAGGGAUGACGGCCU